GACGAACGCUGGCGGCGUGCUUAACACAUGCAAGUCGAACGGAAAGGCCCUGCUUUUGUGGGGUGCUCGAGUGGCGAACGGGUGAGUAACACGUGAGUAACCUGCCCUUGACUUUGGGAUAACUUCAGGAAACUGGGGCUAAUACCGGAUAGGAGCUCCUGCUGCAUGGUGGGGGUUGGAAAGUUUCGGCGGUCGGGGAUGGACUCGCGGCUUAUCAGCUUGUUGGUGGGGUAGUGGCUUACCAAGGCUUUGACGGGUAGCCGGCCUGAGAGGGUGACCGGCCACAUUGGGACUGAGAUACGGCCCAGACUCCUACGGGAGGCAGCAGUGGGGAAUAUUGCACAAUGGGCGGAAGCCUGAUGCAGCAACGCCGCGUGCGGGAUGACGGCCUUCGGGUUGUAAACCGCUUUCGCCUGUGACGAAGCAUGAGUGACGGUAAUGGGUAAAGAAGCACCGGCUAACUACGUG
This 468-nucleotide ribosomal RNA is filed under the name uncultured bacterium. RNAcentral's name for it is "partial 16S ribosomal RNA". It matches the Rfam family "Bacterial small subunit ribosomal RNA", at positions 28 to 507 of the family's 1533-position model. The record is from RNAcentral.